GACGAACGCUGGCGGCGUGCUUAACACAUGCAAGUCGAACGGUAAGGCCCCUUCGGGGGUACACGAGUGGCGAACGGGUGUGUAACACGUGAGCAACCUGCCCUUGACUUUGGGAUACCAGCUGGAAACAGCUGCUAAUACCGGAUAUGACCUCUUCUCUCAUGGGUUGAGGUGGAAAGCUCCGGCGGGCAGGGAUGGGCUCGCGGCCUAUCAGCUUGUUGGUGAGGUAAUGGCUCACCAAGGCUGCGACGGGUAGCCGGCCUGAGAGGGCGACCGGCCACACUGGGACUGAGAUACGGCCCAGACUCCUACGGGAGGCAGCAGUGGGGAAUAUUGCACAAUGGGCGCAAGCCUGAUGCAGCAACGCCGCGUGCGGGAUGACGGCCUUCGGGUUGUAAACCGCUUUCAGUAGGGACGAAGCUAACGUGACGGUACCUACAGAAGAAGGACCGGCUAACUACGUG
Molecule: ribosomal RNA, 464 nt
Filed under: uncultured bacterium
Lineage: Bacteria
Description: partial 16S ribosomal RNA
Rfam family: Bacterial small subunit ribosomal RNA
Source: RNAcentral